GCCCCCGUAGCUCAGGGGAUAGAGCGUCGGUUUCCUAAACCGCAGGUCGCAGGUUCGAAUCCUGCCGGGGGCA
RNAcentral lists this transfer RNA (73 nucleotides) under Nocardioidaceae bacterium. Its description in RNAcentral is "tRNA-Arg". It matches the Rfam family "tRNA". Rfam says of the family: Transfer RNA (tRNA) molecules are approximately 80 nucleotides in length. Their secondary structure includes four short double-helical elements and three loops (D, anti-codon, and T loops). Further hydrogen bonds mediate the characteristic L-shaped molecular structure. tRNAs have two regions of fundamental functional importance: the anti-codon, which is responsible for specific mRNA codon recognition, and the 3' end, to which the tRNAs corresponding amino acid is attached (by aminoacyl-tRNA synthetases). tRNAs cope with the degeneracy of the genetic code in two manners: having more than one tRNA (with a specific anti-codon) for a particular amino acid; and 'wobble' base-pairing, i.e. permitting non-standard base-pairing at the 3rd anti-codon position. The record is from RNAcentral. Lineage: Bacteria; Bacillati; Actinomycetota; Actinomycetes; Propionibacteriales; Nocardioidaceae. RNAcentral also lists the same sequence under 2 other names.